This is a non-coding RNA of Sinocyclocheilus grahami, 419 nucleotides long. NCBI's taxonomy places the organism in Eukaryota, Metazoa, Chordata, Actinopteri, Cypriniformes, Cyprinidae. The record is from the annotation of a RefSeq genome assembly.
UCUUCAUCAACAUGACCUUCAUCAUCAUCUUCAUCUGGACACUUUCAUAUUGCUUUAUACUACAAGGGUGUAAAGCUCAGAUCACAGUCACUCAGACUCCUUCAGUGAAAACUGUCACACCACGAGAAAAUGUAGAGAUGAGCUGUAAACUCAGUACUGCUACACCCUGCAGCCCAAACCCCUGUGUGUUCUGGUACUUACAGAAACCUGGAGAAGCUCCUAAACUCCUGAUUUAUUGGACAAACACCCUCCAGUCAGGAACUCCAUCUAGAUUCAGUGGCAGUGGAUCUGGGACUGAUUUCUCUCUGACCAUCAGUGGAGUCCAGACUGAAGAUGCUGGACAUUAUUACUGUCAGAGUUUUCACUGCAGAACAGAUUCUGAUGGUGAUUGUGUGGGUGAUGAGGUGUUCACACAGUGA